CCCCCAGUCCGGGUUUCCCCCGCUGCCGGGGGAGAUUCCCCCCAAAAACCCCCAAAAGGCUCCAAAUUGUGCCCAAAUUCCGCUUUAUUGGGACUUUCCGCAAUAAAUUAUCCCGGCGGUCAAUAAAUUACCGGCCCCGCCCCGGGACCGGCGGCUUCCGGGCCGGGGGGACGCCAUAAAUACACAAAACUUUAUAAAAACCGCUACAAAAGUAUCAAAAAUAUCUCUGAAAUCCAUAAAUAAAACAAUAAAUAAAAGCGGCUUCUCCCAGCCCGUCCUGGCCGAGCUCGGCUCAUUCCCCGGGUCCCGGUUCUGGUCCCGGUUCUGGUCUGGACCGGUCCCGGUUCUGGUCCCGGUUCCAUUCCCGGUUCUGGUCCCGGUUCCGGUCCCGGUUCCAUUCCAGACCGGU
RNAcentral lists this long non-coding RNA (409 nucleotides) under Parus major (Great Tit). Its description in RNAcentral is "lncRNA (ENSPMJG00000002428.1)". The record is from RNAcentral. Lineage: Eukaryota; Metazoa; Chordata; Aves; Passeriformes; Paridae.